RNAcentral lists this ribosomal RNA (616 nucleotides) under uncultured bacterium. RNAcentral describes it as "bacterial SSU rRNA". It matches the Rfam family "Bacterial small subunit ribosomal RNA", at positions 338 to 947 of the family's 1533-position model. The record is from RNAcentral.
CCUACGGGAGGCAGCAGUGGGGAAUUUUGGACAAUGGACGAAAGUCUGAUCCAGCCAUUCCGCGUGCAGGACGAAGGCCUUCGGGUUGUAAACUGCUUUUGUACGGAACGAAAAAGCCUUGGCUAAUACCCGGGGUCCAUGACGGUACCGUAAGAAUAAGCACCGGCUAACUACGUGCCAGCAGCCGCGGUAAUACGUAGGGUGCGAGCGUUAAUCGGAAUUACUGGGCGUAAAGCGUGCGCAGGCGGUUUUGUAAGACAGAGGUGAAAUCCCCGGGGCCCAACCUGGGAACUGCCUUUGUGACUGCAAGGCUAGAGUGCGGCAGAGGGGGAUGGAAUUCCGCGUGUAGCAGUGAAAUGCGUAGAUAUGCGGAGGAACACCGAUGGCGAAGGCAAUCCCCUGGGCCUGCACUGACGCUCAUGCACGAAAGCGUGGGGAGCAAACAGGAUUAGAUACCCUGGUAGUCCACGCCCUAAACGAUGCCAACUGGUUGUUGGGUCUUUGCUGACUCAGUAACGAAGCUAACGCGUGAAGUUGACCGCCUGGGGAGUACGGCCGCAAGGUUGAACUCAAAUGAAUUGACGGCUGAGAGUGCGAGACGACGACGAGGGAGAGG